GACGAACGCUGGCGGCGUGCUUAACACAUGCAAGUCGAACGGAAAGGCCUGCUUUCCCUUGUGGAUUGCGGGUACUCGAGUGGCGAACGGGUGAGUAACACGUGAGUGAUCUGCCCCCAACUUGGGUAUAAGCCUGGGAAACGGGGUCUAAUUCCCGAUAGGACUGCAGGGUGGUGCCUGUGGUGGAAAACGAUUUUCUAGUGGUUGGGGAUGAGCUCGCGGCCUAUCAGCUUGUUGGUGGGGUAAUGGCCUACCAAGGCGGCGACGGGUAGCCGGCCUGAGAGGGUGGACGGCCACAUUGGGACUGAGAUACGGCCCAGACUCCUACGGGAGGCAGCAGUGGGGAAUAUUGCACAAUGGGCGGAAGCCUGAUGCAGCGACGCCGCGUGGGGGAUGACGGCCUUCGGGUUGUAAACUCCUUUCGACCGCGAGGAAGCCACCUGGUUGGAAGGGUGGUGACGGUAGUGGUAGAAGAAGCACCGGCUAACUACGUG
Molecule: ribosomal RNA, 494 nt
Filed under: uncultured bacterium
Lineage: Bacteria
Description: partial 16S ribosomal RNA
Rfam family: Bacterial small subunit ribosomal RNA
Source: RNAcentral